This 392-nucleotide ribosomal RNA is filed under the name uncultured bacterium. RNAcentral describes it as "partial 16S ribosomal RNA". It matches the Rfam family "Bacterial small subunit ribosomal RNA", at positions 523 to 918 of the family's 1533-position model. The record is from RNAcentral.
AUACGGAGGAUCCGAGCGUUAUCCGGAUUUAUUGGGUUUAAAGGGUGCGCAGGCGGCCAUUUAAGUCAGCGGUUAAAUCGUGGGGCUCAACCCCAUUCUGCCGUUGAUACUGGGUGGCUUGAUUGCGGUCGAGGUUGGCGGAAUUCGUUGUGUAGCGGUGAAAUGCAUAGAUAUGACGAAGGACACCGAUUGCGUAGGCAGCUGACCAGACCGCAAAUGACGCUCAUGCACGAAAGUGCGGGGAUCGAACAGGAUUAGAUACCCUGGUAGUCCGCACAGUAAACGAUGAAUACUUGCUUUCGGCGAUAUAAUGUCGGAGGCAAAGCGAAAGCGAUAAGUAUUCCACCUGGGGAGUACGCCGGCAACGGUGAAACUCAAAGGAAUUGACGGGG